Molecule: ribosomal RNA, 457 nt
Filed under: uncultured bacterium
Lineage: Bacteria
Description: partial 16S ribosomal RNA
Rfam family: Bacterial small subunit ribosomal RNA
Source: RNAcentral
GAUGAACGCUGGCGGCGUGCCUAAUACAUGCAAGUCGUACGGAAAGGCCCUUCGGGGUACUCGAGUGGCGGACGGCUGAGUAACGCGUGGGAACGUGCCCCAAAGUGAGGGAUAACGCACCGAAAGGUGUGCUAAUACCGCAUAUGGUCUUCGGAUUAAAGCUUCGGCGCUUUGGGAGCGGCCCGCGUACGAUUAGAUAGUUGGUGAGGUAAUGGCUCACCAAGUCGACGAUCGUUAGCUGGUCUGAGAGGAUGAUCAGCCAGACUGGGACUGAGACACGGCCCAGACUCCUACGGGAGGCAGCAGUAAGGAAUCUUCCACAAUGGGGGCAACCCUGAUGGAGCAACGCCGCGUGCAGGAUGAAGGUUUUCGGAUCGUAAACUGCUUUUAUAAGUGAAGAAUAUGACGGUAACUUAUGAAUAAAGAUCGGCUAACUACGUGCCAGCAGCCGCAGUAA